This 515-nucleotide ribosomal RNA is filed under the name uncultured bacterium. Its description in RNAcentral is "partial 16S ribosomal RNA". It matches the Rfam family "Bacterial small subunit ribosomal RNA", at positions 28 to 523 of the family's 1533-position model. The record is from RNAcentral.
GAUGAACGCUGGCGGCGUGCCUAAUACAUGCAAGUCGAGCGAAUGGAUUAAGAGCUUGCUCUUAUGAAGUUAGCGGCGGACGGGUGAGUAACACGUGGGUAACCUGCCCAUAAGACUGGGAUAACUCCGGGAAACCGGGGCUCAUACCGGAUAACAUUUUGAACCGCAUGGUUCGAAAUUGAAAGGCGGCUUCGGCUGUCACUUAUGGAUGGACCCGCGUCGCAUUAGCUAGUUGGUGAGGUAACGGCUCACCAAGGCAACGAUGCGUAGCCGACCUGAGAGGGUGAUCGGCCACACUGGGACUGAGACACGGCCCAGACUCCUACGGGAGGCAGCAGUAGGGAAUCUUCCGCAAUGGACGAAAGUCUGACGGAGCAACGCCGCGUGAGUGAUGAAGGCUUUCGGGUCGUAAAACUCUGUUGUUAGGGAAGAACAAGUGCUAGUUGAAUAAGCUGGCACCUUGACGGUACCUAACCAGAAAGCCACGGCGAACUUCGUGCCAGCCGCCGCCGUAA